Molecule: non-coding RNA, 72 nt
Organism: Hysterangium stoloniferum
Lineage: Eukaryota; Fungi; Basidiomycota; Agaricomycetes; Hysterangiales; Hysterangiaceae
Source: the annotation of a GenBank genome assembly
GGUCAGGUGGUGUAAUUGGUAACAUCCCUGUUAUAUAAUCAGAAGCCCUGGGUUCAAUUCCCAGUCUGGCCA